Molecule: long non-coding RNA, 1014 nt
Organism: Lactuca sativa (garden lettuce)
Lineage: Eukaryota; Viridiplantae; Streptophyta; Magnoliopsida; Asterales; Asteraceae
Source: RefSeq, a predicted model, not a curated record
UUUUAAAUAAAAGUGCAUAGUCAUACCAUGUUUUUGGAUGCUUGGAUGUGCCAUUAAUACCCCUAGGAUCUGUUUGCCAUUAAAGAGGGCAUGGAGUAACAUGGCCAUGAACCCCUAGAUAUGUGUUUUAGUAGAAACCAUGUGUUGGUAUGUGGUUAGUAGUUCAUGCAAGUUGUUGACAACGAUGACUUUUAGGACCACUGCUCAUUCUGAAUCAAAGAACAUGGGAGGAUCCAAAUAUCUUAAGGUUUAAAGUUUGCCCUUUUCACACUUCAAUCACAACAUUAUGGUACUACGGGCUGUUCCUUCUGUACCUUAAUCUUUUGAUAUAUCACCAACCAUGGCUAUUAUGACUACGUUAAUCCUUGUAGUUUUCUGCAUUUUACAAUUGAAUAGAACUGUGAUCAUCAGGCAGAUGCAUUCCUCAGCUAAAAUUUGUCCUUAUGAAAUACGUUCAUUAUCACCAUAUAUGGAGCUUAUAUAUAUGAAACCGGUUCCAGGUUUCAUCUGCAAUAUCGAUAAACUUGUAGAUCCUUUCAACAAAAAAUGCUGAGAGGAGUGGUGUCGGCUCAACCGAUCUCCACUUUAGCACCAACAAGGAAGAAAGGGGGGAAGAAGGAAGGAAGGAAGAAGAUAUGGUGUGGCUGCCAAGUAGGGGAGAAGAAAUGGGGAAGAAGGGAGGAAGAAGAAAAAGACUCAACAUGCCAUUGCCGAGUUACGGUUCCAAUCUCGACAUGCAAAGUUCACUGGAUGGUGCUCAAUCGAGUCAGCAAUGCUGAGUGGCUGACGAGACCACUCCGCAUAGGUUUAUAGUUAAUUAAUUUCUUAUAUUAUUUCUAGGUCAUAUUAUCAAAAUCUUAAAUUUUGGUUAACAUCCUUCUUUUUAUACAAACUUUAUAAAUAUUGAAGUUUGUGCUCAUUUAUAGCAUGGUAAUGUUUCAAUUAUGAUACUAUAUUAUUUUGUUUUAAAUCAAACAUGAUAUUUAAAAAAAAACAUUAAUAUUGACCAAUUCA